This is a long non-coding RNA of Hyla sarda, 362 nucleotides long. RefSeq lists it as uncharacterized. The record is from RefSeq and is a predicted model, not a curated record. The transcript is spliced from 3 exons. Lineage: Eukaryota; Metazoa; Chordata; Amphibia; Anura; Hylidae.
UGGAGCCCCUUUAAUGUGGGUACAAUAUAUGGAGAGUAGUCCCGAUGCAUGGAUGUCGUAUUCAUCACACCACCCCUAGGGACCCGGGGCGUGUAAAAGGACAGAACCUGAACAACUAUAUAGUAUUCCUCUGCAGGAAGAGCAUGUCUAGAGUGGAAAGUUACAUCUGCUAAACACAGACGGGAGGUCAAAGAUUAUCUAGAAGAGAGCUGUUCAUUGUUAAUAACAAGAUGCUACAUUAUGCAAAAGUACAUGUGGAGAGCAUGUGGAGUAGUUAAUUCAUUAGCAGCUGAUAAAUUGCAGAAGUUUGUAGCCAGCUAGCCCUUUGCAUUCACUUCCAGGCAGUGGAAGAGAGAGAGAGG